Molecule: ribosomal RNA, 506 nt
Filed under: Crotalus durissus (tropical rattlesnake)
Lineage: Eukaryota; Metazoa; Chordata; Lepidosauria; Squamata; Viperidae
Description: partial 16S ribosomal RNA
Rfam family: Bacterial large subunit ribosomal RNA
Source: RNAcentral
AGGGCCCCCUGGCCCCCCGUGAAAGAAUUUUAACGGCCGCGGUACCCUAACCGUGCAAAGGUAGCAUAAUCAUUUGUCUAUUAAUUGUAGACCAGUAUGAAAGGCAAAAUGAGAGCCCAACUGUCUCUUAUAAUAGAUCAAUUAAACUGAUCUCCUAGUACAAAAGCUAGAAUAUCAACAUAAGACCAGAAGACCCUGUGAAGCUUUAACUAACCUAUUAAACCAAAUAAUAACUACUUUCGGUUGGGGCGACCUUGGAAUAAAAAAGAACUUCCAAUAUAUGACUUCUUCAUAAAACAGGCAAACAACCCAAAACCAAACCCACCACACCUAAUAAUUGAAACAAUUUACUCCAGGAAUAACACCGCUUUCUUCUUCAAAAGCCCUUAUCAAAAAAAAGGUUAACAACCUCAAUGUUGAAUCAGGACUUCCAAUUAAGGCACCCUUUACUAAAGGUUCUUUGGUCCAACAAUAAACAGCCCUACUGGAUCGGAUUCCAAACGGGA